Harpegnathos saltator (Jerdon's jumping ant) is the source of this 1071-nucleotide long non-coding RNA. RefSeq lists it as uncharacterized. NCBI's taxonomy places the organism in Eukaryota, Metazoa, Arthropoda, Insecta, Hymenoptera, Formicidae. The transcript has 2 exons. The record is from RefSeq and is a predicted model, not a curated record.
UAAAAAGAACAGACCAAUAGUAUCAAACCUCCGCCGUAAGAAACGAAUCGUUUUAUGCUUGAACAACGCUGGGAAAUAUUGAAAAAUUAUUUCCAAAGUGAGUGUUGUGUUGCAGAAACCGUGCGAAAUUUGAAAAGAAUUUUUGGUCGAAAUAAAGCCCCUUCAGCGGCUGGUGUAAGGAAAUUCAUAAAGAAAGUUCGUGAAGCUGGCAUGCUUGUGGAUAACAAAGCUAUCCGCGUGCUCGUCCGGUGCGCACAGACGAAAGAAUUGUUGUUGUUGCCCAAAGUGUGCGUGAAAACCCGAGAAUCUCAACUCGUCACAGAGCUCAACAACUGAACACCAGUCGCACUUCUCUGAGGAGAAUAUUGCAUAAAGACCUGGGAUUAUUUGCUUCAGCCAGCGGCACACAUUUUCAUCCAUCUUCGGAAAUGAAAUCAGAACGCAGUAUUUUCAUCCAGCAAACAAUCCAGCACGAAAACAAGCACCGUGUGCCGCUGGCUUUACAAGGUGCAACUCACUCAAGAGUUGAAACAAAAUGACCAUCCGCUUCGUUAUCGUGUCGUCUUGCUUUAUCAAUAUUCCAAUUGGUCAAGAAGGCUUUGUGCCUCCAUCGAAUCAACCAGAGACCUGGUCACGUGAUCAGUUCGCCACUCCCUUCUUAUGAGACUCUUUAGGCUGCACAUGUGCAGUUCAUUUUUGGCUACGCGAAAUUUGGGGAGUGUCGCUCUACUGUGUAUAUUGUGACUUGGGGUGUCGAUUGUUCCAACUUUUAGUUAAGUUAAAUGACAGUUAAAUCAUAUGUUUGUCUUCGUUUAAAUUGAAGGAAAAACAAAGAUAAACAUUUGACUUAACCAUCAGUUAACUUACCAAGAAAUUGAGACACUUAACCGACCCUUAAUGCUAUAUAACACGACCAUGCAAUUAUCAAUUUCAUUACGUGCAAAAUGAUUUGCGGAAAAAAAAGAAAAAAAUAAAACAAAGGAAAGUGAGCUCAAAGUUAAGUGAGAAUACGUUCGGGCAUAAGUUUACCGACCGAUUGUCCAUACUUAAGGAGGAGCAGAAAGAGGAAAA